This 1409-nucleotide ribosomal RNA is filed under the name Rhodococcus sp. (in: high G+C Gram-positive bacteria). RNAcentral describes it as "bacterial SSU rRNA". It matches the Rfam family "Bacterial small subunit ribosomal RNA". Lineage: Bacteria; Bacillati; Actinomycetota; Actinomycetes; Mycobacteriales; Nocardiaceae. The record is from RNAcentral.
UGCUUACCUGCAGUCGAGCGGUAAGGCCCUUUCGGGGGUACACGAGCGGCGAACGGGUGAGUAACACGUGGGUGAUCUGCCCUGCACUCUGGGAUAAGCCCGGGAAACUGGGUCUAAUACCGGAUAGGACCGCGCAUCGCAUGGUGUGUGGUGGAAAGGGUUUCUGGUGCAGGAUGGGCCCGCGGCCUAUCAGCUUGUUGGUGGGGUAAUGGCCUACCAAGGCGACGACGGGUAGCCGGCCUGAGAGGGCGACCGGCCACACUGGGACUGAGACACGGCCCAGACUCCUACGGGAGGCAGCAGUGGGGAAUAUUGCACAAUGGGCGAAAGCCUGAUGCAGCGACGCCGCGUGAGGGAUGACGGCCUUCGGGUUGUAAACCUCUUUCAGCAGGGACGAAGCGCGAGUGACGGUACCUGCAGAAGAAGCACCGGCCAACUACGUGCCAGCAGCCGCGGUAAUACGUAGGGUGCGAGCGUUGUCCGGAAUUACUGGGCGUAAAGAGCUCGUAGGCGGUUUGUCGCGUCGUCUGUGAAAACCCGCAGCUCAACUGCGGGCUUGCAGGCGAUACGGGCAGACUCGAGUACUGCAGGGGAGACUGGAAUUCCUGGUGUAGCGGUGAAAUGCGCAGAUAUCAGGAGGAACACCGGUGGCGAAGGCGGGUCUCUGGGCAGUAACUGACGCUGAGGAGCGAAAGCGUGGGUAGCGAACAGGAUUAGAUACCCUGGUAGUCCACGCCGUAAACGGUGGGCGCUAGGUGUGGGUUUCCUUCCACGGGAUCCGUGCCGUAGCUAACGCAUUAAGCGCCCCGCCUGGGGAGUACGGCCGCAAGGCUAAAACUCAAAGGAAUUGACGGGGGCCCGCACAAGCGGCGGAGCAUGUGGAUUAAUUCGAUGCAACGCGAAGAACCUUACCUGGGUUUGACAUGUACCGGAAACACCCAGAGAUGGGUGCCCCCUUGUGGUCGGUAUACAGGUGGUGCAUGGCUGUCGUCAGCUCGUGUCGUGAGAUGUUGGGUUAAGUCCCGCAACGAGCGCAACCCUUGUCCUGUGUUGCCAGCGCGUAAUGGCGGGGACUCGCAGGAGACUGCCGGGGUCAACUCGGAGGAAGGUGGGGAUGACGUCAAGUCAUCAUGCCCCUUAUGUCCAGGGCUUCACACAUGCUACAAUGGCCGGUACAGAGGGCUGCGAUGCCGUGAGGUGGAGCGAAUCCCUUAAAGCCGGUCUCAGUUCGGAUCGGGGUCUGCAACUCGACCCCGUGAAGUCGGAGUCGCUAGUAAUCGCAGAUCAGCAACGCUGCGGUGAAUACGUUCCCGGGCCUUGUACACACCGCCCGUCACGUCAUGAAAGUCGGUAACACCCGAAGCCGGUGGCCCAACCCCUCGGGGAGGGAGCCGUCGAAGGUGCAUCGC